Molecule: long non-coding RNA, 492 nt
Filed under: Ananas comosus (pineapple)
Lineage: Eukaryota; Viridiplantae; Streptophyta; Magnoliopsida; Poales; Bromeliaceae
Description: long non-coding RNA (ACOM_LNC022907)
Source: RNAcentral
UUUUGCUAUAAUUUUUAGAUAUUGUGACUAACGAUCCGCCAAUAAUUAAGAUGUCAUAUAAUUUUUAUAUCAAUAAUACAUUAAAAUUUGUAGGAUAAAAUGCAUGUUUAACCCUCAAACCACGAAGAACAUGACAUUUUAGUUCGUAAAUUUUAAUUCAUUACCUCUCUAUUCAUGCAUUGUAGGAUAAAUUACACGUUUAGUCCUCAAACUAUGGGAAACUUGACACUUUAGUCACUAAUUUUUAAUUUGUUAUAAAAUUUGAACUUAAACUUUUAAAAUUAUUAUAAAUGAGUCUUACAGUUCAAUUUAAUUGACUAUAUUUUAAUAUAUUGUUGAUAUAAAAGUCAUAUGGCAUCCUAAUAUAUUGGCGCAUCAUAAAUCAAAAUAUUACUAUAUAAUUUUUAUAUUAACAAUAUAUUAAUAUUUAAUUAAAUAUUAAUCAUAAUAAUUUUUAAAAUUUUAACAAAAAAAUAUAACAAAAUAAAAUUU